GAUAUGUUCGAGUAACAAAGCUUCAAAAUAGACCGAAACUUUUAAAAUAUCUCUCUAACCUUUCGACCUCUCUGAUGUGCCUAUACAGUACUUCCAACUGGAGCUUCGUGUAGGGGAGAUCUCUGGUGGCUUUGGCCACCGAGAUGAUCGGCUCUCCUAUCAACCAUACUCCUUUGGGAUGCCAUCGUUUGGUGAACGUUGACAGGAGAGAAGGAAGAUGGUUAGCGAUGGUAGCAGAGGCGCAAUUUCACAGGCAAUUGAAGAUCGGCGCCACGUCCUUUCUGCUUUCUACCACCGAUAACCAAGCCUCGUAUCCGUCCGUCGAAGGCCUAGGAAUUGAGUUAAAAUUUGGUGUUAUGAAAUACAGUCGAAUAUUUAUUUUAUUAUAAUUAAUUUUAUUUAAAUUUUAUUAUAUAAAAUUUUAAAUUAAUUUUAUUGCA
Long non-coding RNA from Ricinus communis (castor bean), 440 nucleotides. RefSeq lists it as uncharacterized. NCBI's taxonomy places the organism in Eukaryota, Viridiplantae, Streptophyta, Magnoliopsida, Malpighiales, Euphorbiaceae. The record is from RefSeq and is a predicted model, not a curated record. The transcript is spliced from 2 exons.